AGCAUUAUUCUCUUGGAUUCACCUUUGCAAAGAAUUGAACAAAAUAGAAGCCAAAGAAGUAGACAGAAAAUAAAUCAAUCCACUCUGCUCAAAGAGCACACAGUCUAAUGAAGAUGAUGAACAUGAAGUCAACUUCGUAGUGUUGAGAGCACUGUUUCUCCAGAGCAGCACUUCUCAUCAGGGGCUGCACGUUAGACUUACCUGGGGAGUAUACAUAAGUUCAGAUGCCCAGGCUGUACUUCAGAAUCUCUGGAGCUCUAUGCAACUCAUUUUCAUCUAGCAUUACCUCUCCAAAACCUGAAUCUCCACAAGAAAGCCACACAGCAAUUAACCAGUGUUGCAAGAACUGCUUCUGUAAUAAAGGUGGGAAGACAAAUUGAUGCAACCCUCUUGAAAAGCAAUCUGGCAAUAUGAACCAAGAGCCAUGAAAAGGCUUAUGCUAUUAUAAUUAAAUGGCUGUAAUGUUGGCUGUAAAUAUGAAAUUUUCUUUCACACACCAAUGUUUUCAAGAAUGGCAUAUUCACAUGCAGUAUGUGAUGAAAGAAGCAGUAAAGGAUGCUAACAAAGCUAUUUCUUUGGACAAUCUGAACCUGACGGAGUCUUACUCUGUCGCCCAGGCAGGAGUGCAAUGGCACAAUCUUGGCUCACCACAACCUCCGCCUCCUGGGUUCAAGUGACUCUCCUGCCUGGCCAUAGAAGCAAACACAAACAUAGAGGAAUUGGCUUUGGGCAGAUGGAAGGACCUCAGAGAAAAGAAACAAAGGAAAGAAAACUGGAUGGAUAAAGAUGAGAAAAUUGAAGCCAACAGAAGUUAACUAACUUGCCUAAAAUAACACAGCUGUGGCAAAUUAGGACCAGAACCAAGGUCUCCUGACCUAAGUGCUACUCCCACCAUACUACAUGAUCUGCUGUUUAAAAUUUUGGUGAGCUUUAUAACAUAAAUAAAACUACAGAUGUGAAGGAC
This 964-nucleotide long non-coding RNA is filed under the name Homo sapiens (human). RNAcentral describes it as "long intergenic non-protein coding RNA 3076". The record is from RNAcentral. Lineage: Eukaryota; Metazoa; Chordata; Mammalia; Primates; Hominidae.